GACGGAAGGUGCAAGCGUUGCUCGGAAUCACUGGGCGUAAAGGGUGCGUAGGCGGCCCUAUAAGUCAGUGCUGAAAUAUCCCGGCUUAACCGGGAGGGUGGCAUUGAUACUGUAGGGCUUGAGUGUAGUCGAGGUAGGCGGAAUUGACGGUGUAGCGGUGAAAUGCUUAGAUAUCGUCAAGAACACCGAUAGUGUAGACAGCUUACUAGGCUACAACUGACGCUGAGGCACGAAAGUGUGGGGAUCAAACAGG
Molecule: ribosomal RNA, 253 nt
Filed under: uncultured bacterium
Lineage: Bacteria
Description: partial 16S ribosomal RNA
Rfam family: Bacterial small subunit ribosomal RNA
Source: RNAcentral